UAUGAGUAUUUUGGCUCCGGUUAUUGC
Molecule: non-coding RNA, 27 nt
Filed under: Bombyx mori (domestic silkworm)
Lineage: Eukaryota; Metazoa; Arthropoda; Insecta; Lepidoptera; Bombycidae
Source: RNAcentral